UACAGAGAAGUUAACAUCCUAUCCUUAUAAGUGUAUCGGCCAGAGUAGUUGACCUAAUAUACUUGGUGUGUGUGUGUGUGUGUGUGUGUGUGUGUGUGUGUGUGUGUGUGUGUGUGUGUGUGUGUGUGUGUGUGUGUGUGUGUGUGCGUGUGCGUGUGCGUGUGCGUGACCGUGAGUGAGUGUGAGUGUGAGUGUGAUGAAUAUACUGUAGGCACAGCGUUAUCUUCACCAAAGACUCUGACAUGUCGCUCAGUUGGGCUUCUCUACUUAGCUGCAGCUUUCAACCUGAAAGACCACAAACAAACUAACUGUUGGCUGUUUGGAGAAUUUUGUUUUAGUUGUUUUUUUCAUCAUGUGUCUAAUGGCAAAGCGUUCGAUUGACUUCUGCUCCUCAUUAAAUGAUUCUGCUUUCGUAAGCAGGGGGUUGUUUGAAGCUGUUGAGAUACCACGUUAAAAAGCCCGCCAAGGAAUGUGGACAAAAAUUUGGGGGGGUGGGGGGGGGAGAGAGAGAAGCUUGACGAUGUGUACUUAUCCCUAUCCACCGUUGUUUUUUAUUUUAAUUCUGGCCAUUGAAUUCUGUUCUUGUGUUAUUUAUGUUUAGACAUUAACUUUGUAUAUUUCUUUCUCAUUUCUUUUUUUUUCCUGUCUUUUUAAAAUGUGGAUCUAGAUGUUUUUUCAAUACUGGCUUAUGUUGCUACUGGUACCGGAACUAUAGGUACUUUUUUCUUUCUUCCAAAGCAGGUGAUGAAUGUGUGGAACCAGGUUAGACGCACUCACAGAUCCCUUCCCUUGUCAGUAUGGACACGGCGGCUCUGCUCCUCGUUUCUCCGUCUGGGUCUUUCAGUUGGACUCCUGGAGCACACGUUCUGCCAUGUCACGGGUUUGAUCAUGGACCAAAGAUGGAUGUCGGGACACUUUUUUUUAUAGAAAAUGACCCCCCCCCCCCCCAUAACUGCUCCUCCUACUUUAUUUCAUGUCAUGCCCCUUUACUUUAUACUCCAAUAUAUUUUUGACAAAAAUGUAGGGAGAUCCACCUGUAUUUGUACAACUUUUGUAAGACUAAUCUGAGAUCUGAAAUUGAUUGGUAUUUUUUUUUGGGGGGGGGGGGGGGGGGGGGGGCAGGGAAAUUGUAUUUUAGCAGUAUUAUCUGAUCUACGGCCCUAACAAUCGAACCAGCCACCCUCCCUCCAGCAGACGUGUUCACUCACAGUGGCUGACUGUCAUUGCAAAGCCAGCUAGCGCUAGUUUCUCCUGCCAUCCUGCAGGCCUUUAGCUUUCUACUGCAGCUGCAGGCAGCUCUGAGCUACACACAAACACAAACACACGUGACUAAGGACAAGAAAAAUCAGAGGUUGCUGCUUUAUCUUCAAGCUUGUUUGUAUGCAUGGUACUUUUUUUUUGUAUUUUACGUUAUGUAACGUGUGUAUUGUUAAUUGCACUAUUGUUUUAGCUAACUUGGAAGUGCAAUAAAAACUAUAAAUACUGUAUGUAAUUAAUAAAUGAGCACCAUUUUACCAUA
This is a long non-coding RNA of Gadus macrocephalus (Pacific cod), 1519 nucleotides long. RefSeq lists it as uncharacterized. NCBI's taxonomy places the organism in Eukaryota, Metazoa, Chordata, Actinopteri, Gadiformes, Gadidae. The record is from RefSeq and is a predicted model, not a curated record. The transcript has 2 exons.